UAAGGCAGGAUCUGCUCCCGGGCUCAGCCCUCACCGUCGGGACUGCGCUCUGCGGUGGGGAGCGACCCCAGCUUCCGCCCGCCCCAGAGGCCAUGGCUGGCGCCGGUUGCCUUGGCGACGCCGAGGACGCCAAGGUCUCUUCCCACGCAUGCGCGGAGCCCGCCCGUGCUCCUGGGUCUUCCAUCUCCCUGCUCCCUCCUGUCUCCUCCUCCGCGGACUUGGGGUCCCCAGGAGCCCUCCCCCGCCACCAGGAGGCCAGUCUCCUCCCCGGCAUGUCCACCUCCCGCCGCGCUGCUCGGGGCUCCCCUCCCCUCCCCUUGCUGGUUCCCAGAACUGGGCCUGGGUUAGUGCGGGGAAGGGGGGUGUGUUUGUUGAGUGAAUAAGCGAGUGACUGGGGAGGCUUGGUUUCGGGGUCCCAGAGCCCGAUUGACUCAGCUGAAAAGUUCAGGAGAAACAGAGACUUUUGCAGGAGCAGGCUGGGGGCUAGGGCAGACGAGUGAGGAGGACAAAGGGUCUGUUCCCUGUCACUCUGACAGAGAGAGGGGCUUCCUGCCAGGAAAGAGUGGUUUCUGGAGCAGACCAAGGAAGGAAACACCGCCCGAAUUCACGGAAGAGGCUGAGGACUCUGGCUGGAAACACGUGGCCGGCUUCUCGCCUCUCUCCUUGCGGCUAUUUGCCCUGUUUCCUGGCCAAGGUAGAAAGAGAACAAGCCAUUUUGCUCAUCAUCAACAAACCUUGACCAAGGAAGUGUCUGCGUGUGCAAUGUGCCAUCUGAACCCUGGAGGCAUAAGCAGUAUGGUCACUUGUCCCAGCAUUGUUGGGAAGUGAAAAUGUAUCCAUGGAAAGAGAGCAGAAAGAUAAGACUACGCCCCGGGGAUAAUGAAAAAGAGAGGACUUGACCGCUGAGGGAUGGAGUUCCAAGGAAGUCAGUCCUUGAUGGGGCCAAGCAGCAGGGGAAGACGGGCGCUAUCAGGCUGGGGACAGAGCCCAAGCCAAGACCCAGGUGUAUGAAUGGACAGGACCUGAGAUGACCCGGUGGGUCAAACUGUCUGACUGUAGAAGAGGAGCUGGGCAGAGAGCAGAGGUCCAGGGACAGGCCAAGGUUUGGAAUGCCAAGGUUUGGAAUUUAGGCUUGGCCCUGUGGGUAAUGGAGAGCUAUCAGUGGGUUUCAAGCAAAAGGGAGAUACCAAGUGCUGUGGCCAGCCAUGUUUCAGGAAGAUUGUUCUUGUCCACCUUUGUUUAUGUCAACCACAUUUAGAAGUAACAAAUGUCUGAUAGGGGGUCAGGUGCGGUGGCUUGUGCCUAUAGUGCCAGCUACUCAGGAGGCUGAGGCAGGAGGAUCGCUCAAGCCCAGGGAUUCAAGGAUGCUGUGAGCUACGAUCACGUCACUGCACUCCAGCCUGGGAAACAGGGUGAGACCCAGUUUCUAAAACAAACGAACAAACAAAUGUCUGAUGGGGAUGCAUCCUCCCAAUAGAAUACUAUUCAACCAUGGAUAAUGUGGGAAUAGAAUAUCUCUGUUGAUGUGAAAAGUUGUCCAAGACAGUUGAGUCAAAAAUAUCAGUAAGCAUAGUAAGAUCUUAUUUUUGUUUUAAAAAUCAUAUGCAUAAGUCCAGGCACGGUGGCUCACGCCUGUAAUCCCAGCAGUUUGGGAGGCCAAGGCAGGCAGAUCACUUGAGGUCAGGAGUUCGGGACCAGCCUGGCCAACAUGGUGAAACCCUGUCUCUACUAAAAAUACAAAAAUUAGCCGGGAGUGGUGGCGGGUGCCUGCAAUCCCAGACACUCAGGAGGCUGAGGCAGGAGAAUCGCUUGAACCUGGGAGGUGGAGGUUGCAGUGAGCCGAGAUCAUGCCACUGCACUUCAGCCUGGGCAACAGAGACUCCAUCUAAAAAAAAAAAAAAUUCAUAUGCAUAUACAUGUGUGUAUGUACAUGUGUGUGUGUGUGAAUACACAUACACACACACACACAGAUCCAACUGUGGAGCAGCUGUCAGAGUUGGCCGACCCGCAGCCUCCCCUAGAGUCUUCUGCAGAGGGUUCCUGCCCUCACCUACAGCCCCUCCACCUGAGGACACCUGGCCACAGGUAAGACAGGCCAGAAGGUGGCACAGGAGCAGCCCACAAGCAAUAAUGGAUGGGAGUUGAUAGCUAAACUCGCAGCCUCCUGGUCUCAGUGCGACAACUCUGAGGUGUCUCCCACAGAGCCUCUCAGUGAUGCCUGUGGGCUUGUGCCCAGGUGGCCCACAGUGACCUGCUCAGAAACACACACUUUACUGCCUUUUCUCCUCUCCCUGUCCCUUCUCCACUCUCUCGUAGUGCUCAUUUGGAUCUCCUUCCAAAGAAACGACUGCUCCCCAAGCCUGUGUCAGGGUCUGCUUUUGGGGGAUCCCAACGAAGACAUCAGCCUCCUACUCGCUCCACAUCUGCCUCCAGGCUACUGAAAACUCCUGGAAAAGGGACUUAAGUAGCUCUAUGAUACAUCUGCAUUCAGAGAUGUGAAAUACUGAAAUAGACAUUGAAGAAAAUGAGUUUGGGUGUACAAUGGUCAAUAGAUUCAACUGAAGCAAGGCUGGAGGCAGGGGGCCCAGCAAAGAGGCUGCCACACUUGUCCCUCUAAGGAAGCCUGCAGUGGGCUAGAGGUGGCCGUAGAAAACAGUCAGGAGGAGGUGAUCAUUCCAAUCCCUCAGAGGUAAAAGGGCAUGUUAACCGCUUGUGUUUUGAAAAACAAGGCUGAGAUCAAAACUAUCUGACUUAUGGUAUUCCAUUCGAUGUAUUUGUCAAAAGAAACGGAAGCAUUUGCCAUGAAGAAAGGAAAGCCACACACUUAUCUGCCUGAGCUAUUUUGCUCAUAGAAGAUCUCACAUCAGCGCAGCAGAAUAGGAGAUGACUUACUUUCCUGCUAUUUGACUUGCCUGCUAUUAUUUUCUUUGAGACACUGAACACUCCACCUAUUUCUUUUUUAUUUUCUUCUCAAUAGGAACUCUUGUUGGCCUCUUUGGAUUAUUUUGUUUUUCAGAUUUUUUUUUUUUUUUUUUUUUUAGUGAUCCAAGACAAUAUGUGCUAAAAGUCCUCCCCAUUGCCUUGGUAAAUCUAUUUCUGGGAAUAAGCUAAACAUAGGAGAAGAUUUAUACUAAAAAAUGUUCAUCAUAGUGUUAUUUUUAAAGGGUUAAAAAUUAAACAUUUGGCAGGACAUGGUGGCUCACGCCUGUAAUCGCAGCACUCUGGGAGGCCGUGGCAGGUGGGUCAUUUGAGGUCAGGAG
Molecule: long non-coding RNA, 3260 nt
Filed under: Homo sapiens (human)
Lineage: Eukaryota; Metazoa; Chordata; Mammalia; Primates; Hominidae
Description: HSALNT0243750
Source: RNAcentral